UAGAGUUUGAUCCUGGCUCAGGAUGAACGCUGGCGGUAUGCUUAACACAUGCAAGUCGAACGGUCUUUUCGGAGAUAGUGGCGGACGGGUGAGUAACGCGUGAGAAUCUGUCAUUUGGUUUGGGACAACAUUGGGAAACCGAUGCUAAUACCGGAUGUGCCGAGAGGUGAAAGAGAAAUUGCCAGAUGGUGAGCUCGCGUCAGAUUAGCUAGUUGGUGGGGUAAUAGCCUACCAAGGCGACGAUCUGUAGCUGGUCUGAGAGGACGAUCAGCCACACUGGAACUGAGACACGGUCCAGACUCCUACGGGAGGCAGCAGUGGGGAAUUUUCCGCAAUGGGCGAAAGCCUGACGGAGCAAUACCGCGUGAGGGAGGAAGGCUCUUGGGUCGUAAACCUCUUUUCUCUAGGAAGAUAAUGACGGUACUAGAGGAAUAAGCAUCGGCUAACUCCGUGCCAGCAGCCGCGGUAAUACGGAGGAUGCAAGCGUUAUCCGGAAUGAUUGGGCGUAAAGCGUCCGCAGGUGGUUAUGUAAGUCUGCGGUUAAAGAGUGGGGCUUAACUCCAUAAAGGCCGUGGAAACUACAAGACUAGAGUAGGUUAGGGGCAGAGGGAAUUCCCAGUGUAGCGGUGAAAUGCGUAGAGAUUGGGAAGAACACCGGUGGCGAAAGCGCUCUGCUAGGACAAUACUGACACUGAGGGACGAAAGCUAGGGGAGCGAAUGGGAUUAGAUACCCCAGUAGUCCUAGCCGUAAACGAUGGAUACUAGGCGUUGAGAGUAUCGACCCUCUCAGUGCCGUAGCUAACGCGUUAAGUAUCCCGCCUGGGGAGUACGCACGCAAGUGUGAAACUCAAAGGAAUUGACGGGGGCCCGCACAAGCGGUGGAGUAUGUGGUUUAAUUCGAUGCAACGCGAAGAACCUUACCAGGGCUUGACAUGUCCAGGAGUCCGGCGAAAGUUGGAUGUGCCUUAGGGAACUGGAACACAGGUGGUGCAUGGCUGUCGUCAGCUCGUGUCGUGAGAUGUUGGGUUAAGUCCCGCAACGAGCGCAACCCUCGUACUUAGUUGCCAGCAUUAGGUUGGGCACUCUAGGGAGACUGCCGGUGACAAACCGGAGGAAGGUGGGGAUGACGUCAAGUCAGCAUGCCCCUUACGUCCUGGGCUACACACGUACUACAAUGCUACGAACAAAGGGCAGCUACACAGCGAUGUGAUGCAAAUCUCAGAAAUCGUGGCUCAGUUCAGAUUGCAGGCUGCAACUCGCCUGCAUGAAGUCGGAAUCGCUAGUAAUUGCAGGUCAGCAUACUGCAGUGAAUUCGUUCCCGGGCCUUGUACACACCGCCCGUCACACCAUGGAAGCUGGUCACGCCCGAAGUAGUUACCCUAACCAUGAAUUUGGGGGGGGACUCCUAAGGUAGGGCUGGUGACUGGGGUGAAGUCGUAACAAGGUAGCCGUACCGGAAGGUGUGGCUGGAUCACCUCCUUUAUAGGGAGACCGAAACCCUUAGGGACAGAAACGGGAGGAAGUAUUUAUACUUGUUCAAGGAAUAAGAAACUAAGAGGUCAUUCCCAAGGUCGGUCGAGGACAAGUAACUGACUUUCAAACUAAAACUGGUUCGGAACAAUCAAAGAAGAGAAUCUAAAUUCAGCACCUACAUCUAGAGAUUUGAGUAGAGAGAAGUAGACUGCUGGGUUUACCCAGUAAAAGAACCUUGAAAACUGCAUAGUGGCAAAAGAAGUAGCAAUUGAAAGUUCGAGAGAACAAGAGAUUGUGAAAGGCAGUUCGUAGUGUAGCAGCUACGGAUAAAAGCACCAAUAUUAGGAUUGAGGAGAAGAAUAUUGAGUGGUCAAGCGAAUAAAGGCUGACGGUGGAUACCUAGGCACACAGAGGCGAAGA
RNAcentral lists this ribosomal RNA (1893 nucleotides) under Calothrix sp. CHAB TP201729.1. RNAcentral describes it as "bacterial SSU rRNA". The stretch from base 1 to 1482 matches the Rfam family "Bacterial small subunit ribosomal RNA". The record is from RNAcentral. Lineage: Bacteria; Bacillati; Cyanobacteriota; Cyanophyceae; Nostocales; Calotrichaceae.